AGCAGGAGGCAUCGCCCUGCCCGGUCCCUGAGGACCUUCCAGCCCUCCCAGGGCAGGAGGUGGAGGAUCCCUGUCCCAGCACCAGCAGCUCGGCCCAUUCCCCAUGGGACAGCCGCAGCGCCUGGGACUCGGGCAGCAGCGAGGCCGAUGGACGCUUCUGCUUUGUUCCAGGGACCACCAGGGACUCAGAGGACGAGGAGGAGGAGGAUCGGGUGGACGUGGUCACAGAGGAGGCUGCUCUCAAAAACAUCCGAGAGCAGCUCCAGGGCUGAGAAAAGGAGCUCAAUGAGGAGCUUCCCGAUGACUCUCCACCCAGUGCUGUCCUGGCCAACUCCGUGACUGCUGUGGGCAACCUCAGCUUCACGUCCAUGUUGGUGCCAGUCCCACCCCUGCACUGCACAGUCUAAAACCGGCUCCUCUCUCUUGCCAGCACCAUGAAACCUGCCCUUGAGCCAGACCUAGAGACCCACCUCCUUCGAGCUGCCCUGCAUGCAGUCUUCACCAUGGGCACAGAGAAGGACACCAGCCAAGUCCAGGAUCUGCAUAGGGUCUUGCCAGACCUCCUGGAUGCCAUGCUGGGGAACCUGCUGGCAGAGUCCCCACACACCAACAGGCUCCACUACACCUUAGAGCACAUUAACUACUGGAUCCUGGUGUUGCGAGAGAGAGCC
Molecule: long non-coding RNA, 671 nt
Organism: Chelonia mydas (Green sea turtle)
Lineage: Eukaryota; Metazoa; Chordata; Testudines; Cheloniidae
Exons: 6
Source: RefSeq, a predicted model, not a curated record